RNAcentral lists this long non-coding RNA (654 nucleotides) under Sorghum bicolor (sorghum). Its description in RNAcentral is "long non-coding RNA (SBIC_LNC014999)". Lineage: Eukaryota; Viridiplantae; Streptophyta; Magnoliopsida; Poales; Poaceae. The record is from RNAcentral.
CAUGAGGAAUAAUGAGGGCCACAGAUAUAGGAUUCCCCGUGGAUUCAACAUUGCAUGGCAUAUAUAUCACUAAGCAUGUAAAAGAUUUGGUAGACGCUCAGCCUCCUUAAGCCUAGGCUAAUAUAUAUGAGAACUAUAAAUUGGCUUUUCUACUGGAUUAACCAUUUCCCUAGGAUUGGUAUCCACUUCCUGUACAGCAUCCGUGAAACAAAUUGAUUUUUCUUGGCUUGUCACCCACGUGAAUUAUUGUGCAAAAAAAUUGAUCACUUAAACAACACAUCAUAUUUUUCCAUAUUGUCGACUAUUUGAUUCGUUCCAAGAUUUAACAACAGUUGUUAGUUAUUUUAUUAGGCAUGCAUCCACAUAGAGGCAUCUUAAUGAUUUCAAAUUAUCACAGAAGAGUUGGUCAAGACUAGGCAUAUCAUUUUCUAUAUUCGGGGUUCUGGAUAAAAAAAUAUAUUGGAACAUGCAAAUUAGAAAGGAUGUUGAUGUCAUAGCUGACAUCAGCACAUCUGAAUGGUACAGGCAGGCUGUGGCAGCCUACCACUGUCCACCACGCAGCCACUAGGAAGCACAUGACACUACUCCAAUAAAAUAUAACCGUGACCAUCAUUUUGUAUUUACCAUGCCACGAUUUUUGCAGCUACUACAGCC